GAUGAACGCUAGCGAUAGGCUUAACACAUGCAAGUCGAGGGGCAGCAUGGUCUUAGCUUGCUAAGGCUGAUGGCGACCGACGCACGGGUGCGUAACGCGUAUGCAACUUGCCUCACAGAGGGGGAUAACCCGUCGAAAGACGGACUAAUACCGCGUACACUCUAUGUUGGGCAUCCAAUGUAGAGGAAAUGAAAUUCGCUGUGAGAUAGGCAUGCGUCCCAUUAGCUAGUUGGUGAGGUAACGGCUCACCAAGGCGACGAUGGGUAGGGGAACUGAGAGGUUGAACCCCCACACUGGUACUGAGACACGGACCAGACUCCUACGGGAGGCAGCAGUGAGGAAUAUUGGGCAAUGGGCGAGAGCCUGAACCAGCCAAGUCGCGUGAAGGAUGACUGUCUUAUGGAUUGUAAACUUCUUUUAUACGGGAAUAACAAGAGUCACGUGUGGCUCCCUGCAUGUACCGUAUGAAUAAGCAUCGGCUAACUCCGUG
Molecule: ribosomal RNA, 490 nt
Filed under: uncultured bacterium
Lineage: Bacteria
Description: partial 16S ribosomal RNA
Rfam family: Bacterial small subunit ribosomal RNA
Source: RNAcentral